RNAcentral lists this ribosomal RNA (497 nucleotides) under uncultured bacterium. RNAcentral's name for it is "partial 16S ribosomal RNA". It matches the Rfam family "Bacterial small subunit ribosomal RNA", at positions 28 to 507 of the family's 1533-position model. The record is from RNAcentral.
GAUGAACGCUGGCGGCGUGCCUAAUACAUGCAAGUCGAGCGAACGGACGAGAAGCUUGCUUCUCUGAUGUUAGCGGCGGACGGGUGAGUAACACGUGGAUAACCUACCUAUAAGACUGGGAUAACUUCGGGAAACCGUAGCUAAUACCGGAUAAUAUUUUGAACCGCAUGGUUCAAAAGUGAAAGUCGGUCUUUCUGUCACUUCUAGAUGGUUCCGCGCUGCUUUAGCUAGUUGGUAAGGUAACGGCUUACGAAGGCAACGAUGCAUAGCCGACCUGAGAGAGGGAUCGGCCACACUGGAACUGAGACACGGUCCAGACUACUACGGGAGGGAGCAGAAGGGAAUCUUACGCAAUGGGCGAAAGCCUGACGGAGCAAGGCCGAGUGAGUGAUGAAGGUCUUCGGAUCGUAAAACUCUGUUAUUAGGGAAGAACAUAUGUGUAAGUAACUGUGCACAUCUUGACGGUAACUAAUCAGAAAGCAACGGCUAACUACGUG